Molecule: non-coding RNA, 444 nt
Organism: Schizosaccharomyces pombe (fission yeast)
Lineage: Eukaryota; Fungi; Ascomycota; Schizosaccharomycetes; Schizosaccharomycetales; Schizosaccharomycetaceae
Source: the annotation of a GenBank genome assembly
UCAUUGCAACGUUGGUGUCUGACAGAAAAAAGUCGAAUUCUUAUAGAUGAAUUCUAGCAUUUCUUCAGUCAGAAAAAUAUAUCGAAGACUCUAAGUUUACCCUUUAAAUGUGUCACUUGUGGUUUUCUUAUACGGAAAAGAUACAGAACAAUCCACGGCUAAAGGAGAUCCUCAUCCAACAACCCGAGAAAGUCUAUCAUUUGGAUGAACGGAUACUCAUCCAAAACUUUCAAGAAUUGUGUUUUUUUUGCUUCUAUCUUCAAUGCCCUGUAUCGAACUGAAUUGCGAUUGUCAUUAAUUUGCCUUGCUAUGCCAUACCAAGCCAAGCUAUUUUAAGCAAACGGUUUAGUUGGACUCCAAUAAUAAAUGCUUUACAAAAAAGAAAUGCGAUUGAUAAACUAGAACACUCUCCAAUGUAUGUCUACCAAUUCCUAAAUACUUUCA